Molecule: ribosomal RNA, 488 nt
Filed under: Lampides boeticus (pea blue)
Lineage: Eukaryota; Metazoa; Arthropoda; Insecta; Lepidoptera; Lycaenidae
Description: partial 16S ribosomal RNA
Source: RNAcentral
AAAAACAUGUCUUUUUGAGUUUAAUUUAAAGUCCAAUCUGCCCACUGAUUAAAAAUUAAAGGGCUGCAGUAAUUUGACUGUACAAAGGUAGCAUAAUCAUUAGUCUUUUAAUUGAAGACUUGUAUGAAAGAUUUGAUGAAAUAUAUACUGUCUCUUAUUUAUAAUUAAAAUUUAAUUUUUUAGUUAAAAAGCUAAAAUAAAUUUAAAAGACGAGAAGACCCUAUAGAGUUUUAUAAUUUAUUAUUUAAAAUAUUUAUAUAAAAUUUUAAUAUUUAAUAUUUUAAAUUAUUUUAUUGGGGUGAUAAAAAAAUUUAAAAAACUUUUUUUUAAAAUUAACAUUAAUAAUUGAAUUUUUGAUCCUGAUUAAAGAUUAUAAGAAAAAAUUACCUUAGGGAUAACAGCGUAAUAUUUUUUUUUAGUACAAAUAAAAAAAAAAGUUUGCGACCUCGAUGUUGGAUUAAGAUAAAAUUUAAAUGCAAAAGUUAAAA